RNAcentral lists this ribosomal RNA (759 nucleotides) under uncultured bacterium. RNAcentral describes it as "bacterial SSU rRNA". It matches the Rfam family "Bacterial small subunit ribosomal RNA", at positions 57 to 792 of the family's 1533-position model. The record is from RNAcentral.
GCAGUCGAGCGGGAAGUUUCCUUCGGGAAGCGAGUAUAGCGGCGCACGGGUGAGUAACACGUAGGUAACCUACCCCCAGGUCUGGGAUAACCCGCCGAAAGGCGGGCUAAUACCGGAUAAGACCACGGCGGCUUCGGCCGACGCGGUAAAAGAUGGCCUCUACAUGUAAGCUAUCGCUCGGGGAUGGGCCUGCGCGCCAUUAGCUAGUUGGUGGGGUAAUGGCCUACCAAGGCGAAGAUGGCUAGCUGGUCUGAGAGGAUGAUCAGCCACACUGGGACUGAGACACGGCCCAGACUCCUACGGGAGGCAGCAGUGGGGAAUAUUGCGCAAUGGGGGAAACCCUGACGCAGCGACGCCGCGUGGGUGAUGAAGGCCUUCGGGUCGUAAAGCCCUGUCGGGAGGGACGAACCACCGAUGGAAUAAUACGCCAUCGGCCUGACGGUACCUCCUAAGGAAGCACCGGCUAACUCCGUGCCAGCAGCCGCGGUAAUACGGAGGGUGCGAGCGUUGUUCGGAAUCACUGGGCAUAAAGCGCACGUAGGCGGAUUGGCAAGUCGGUUGUGAAAUCCCGGAGCUCAACUCCGGAACUGCUUCCGAAACUGCCAGUCUAGAGGGCGAGAGGGGAGAGUGGAACUUCUGGUGGAGCGGUGAAAUGCGUAGAUAUCAGAAGGAACACCGGUGGCGAAAGCGACUCUCUGGCUCGCUUCUGACGCUAAGGUGCGAAAGCUUGGGUAGCAAACGGGAUUAGAUACCCUGGUA